Hemiscyllium ocellatum (epaulette shark) is the source of this 440-nucleotide long non-coding RNA. RefSeq lists it as uncharacterized. NCBI's taxonomy places the organism in Eukaryota, Metazoa, Chordata, Chondrichthyes, Orectolobiformes, Hemiscylliidae. The record is from RefSeq and is a predicted model, not a curated record. The transcript is spliced from 3 exons.
GCAGUGUAGGUCCCGCGGCCGGACCGAGACAGUGUGACUGAGUGUGGGAGAGGAAUGGCGCCGGCGGCUGAAGGAACAAGAACAGAAACCGCUGGAAAAGCUGAGCAGGUCCGGCAGCUCGUGUUGAGAGAAAUUGUGACCUAUUUGGAUAGGGCAAGGCUUACCAGGGUUGCCCACAGCACAACUGGUAUCAAACUGGCACACAACACCUUUACAGGGUAAGGAUAUCAAAACUGAGCACCGUGUUCAAGAUGUAGUCCCACCAAUGCUCUGUAACUGAGGCAUAAUCUCCUUACAUUUAUGUCAUUGGCCUUUCUAAUCACUUGCUGCGCUUGCAUUCUAACUUGUGACUUAUUUGCAAGGCCCCUGGAUCCCUCUGCAUCUCAGAAUUAUGCGGUUGUUCUCCAAAUAGGUAAUAAAUUGCAUUUUACCAUAUUGUA